Molecule: ribosomal RNA, 522 nt
Filed under: uncultured bacterium
Lineage: Bacteria
Description: bacterial SSU rRNA
Rfam family: Bacterial small subunit ribosomal RNA
Source: RNAcentral
AGGGUUCGAUUCUGGCUCAGGAUGAACGCUAGCUACAGGCUUAACACAUGCAAGUCGAGGGGCAGCAUGGUCUUAGCUUGCUAAGAUUGAUGGCGACCGGCGCACGGGUGAGUAACGCGUAUCCAACCUUCCCUAUAGUAGGGGAUAGCCCGUAGAAAUGCGGAUUAAUACCCUAUGUUGUAUUUCGAGGACAUCUGACGAAUACCAAAGGUUCACCGCUAUAGGAUGGGGAUGCGUCUGAUUAGGUAGUCGGCGGGGUAACGGCCCACCGAGCCAACGAUCAGUAGGGGUUCUGAGAGGAAGGUCCCCCACAUUGGAACUGAGACACGGUCCAAACUCCUACGGGAGGCAGCAGUGAGGAAUAUUGGUCAAUGGGCGAGAGCCUGAACCAGCCAAGUAGCCGUGCAGGAUGACGGCCCUAUGGGUUGUAAACUGCUUUUAUGCGGGGAUAAAGUGAGGGACGUGUCCCUUAUUGUAGGUACCGCAUGAAUAAGGACCGGCUAAUUCCGUGCCAGCCGCCGC